AUAUUGGACAAUGGGGGGAACCCUGAUCCAGCCAUGCCGCGUGUGUGAAGAAGGUCCNNNGAUUGNACAGCACUUUAAGUUGGNAGGNAGAGUUGUAGGCAAAUAGCUUGCAAUUUUGACGUUACCAACAGAAUAAGCACCGGCUACCUUCGUGCCAGCAGCCGCGGUAACAGGAAGGGUGCAAGUGUUACUCGGAAUUACUGGGCGUAAAGCGCGCGUUGGUGGGUCGUUAAGUUAGAAGUGAAAGCCCCGGGCUUAAACUGGGAAUUGCUUUCAAAACUGACGGGCUAGAGUACGGUAGAGGGUAGUGGAAUUUCCUGUGUAGCGGUGAAAUGCGUAGAUAUAGGAAGGAACAUCAGUGGCGAAGGCGACUACCUGGACUGAUACUGACACUGAGGUGCGAAAGCGUGGGGAGCAAACAGG
RNAcentral lists this ribosomal RNA (423 nucleotides) under uncultured bacterium. Its description in RNAcentral is "partial 16S ribosomal RNA". It matches the Rfam family "Bacterial small subunit ribosomal RNA", at positions 361 to 776 of the family's 1533-position model. The record is from RNAcentral.